UAAGCAUAUCAAUAAGCGGAGGAAAAGAAACCAACAGGGAUUGCCCCAGUAACGGCGAGUGAAGCGGCAAGAGCUCAAAUUUGAAAUCUGGCCUCCCCCGGGGGCCCGAGUUGUAAUUUGCAGAGGAUGCUUCGGGUGCGGCCGCCGUCUAAGUUCCUUGGAACAGGACGUCAGAGAGGGUGAGAAUCCCGUCUUGGGCGGGCGGUCCGCGCCCGUGUGAAGCUCCUUCGACGAGUCGAGUUGUUUGGGAAUGCAGCUCUAAGCGGGUGGUAAAUUUCAUCUAAAGCUAAAUAUUGGCCGGAGACCGAUAGCGCACAAGUAGAGUGAUCGAAAGGUUAAAAGCACCUUGAAAAGGGAGUUAAACAGCACGUGAAAUUGUUGAAAGGGAAGCGCUUGCGGCCAGACUCGGGGGCGGGGUUCAGCGGGUGCUCGUCGCCCGUGUAUUCCUCGUCUCCCGGGCCAGCAUCAGUUUCGACGGCCGGUCAAAGGCCCCCGGAAUGUGUCGUCUCUCGGGACGUCUUAUAGCCGGGGGUGCAAUGCGGCCCGUCGGGACUGAGGAACGCGCUCCGGCUCGGAUGCUGGCGUAAUGGCCGUAAGCGGCCCGUCUUGAAACACGGACCAAGGAGUCUAACAUCCACGCGAGUGUUCGGGUGUCAAACCCGUGCGCGCAGUGAAAGCGAACGGAGGUGGGAGCCUUAGGGCGCACCAUCGACCGAUCCUGAAGUCUUCGGAUGGAUUUGAGUAGGAGCGUGGCCGUUGGGACCCGAAAGAUGGUGAACUAUGCCUGAAUAGGGUGAAGCCAGAGGAAACUCUGGUGGAGGCUCGCAGCGGUUCUGACGUGCAAAUCGAUCGUCAAAUUUGGGCAUAGGGGCGAAAGACUAAUCGAACCAUCUAGUAGCUGGUUCCUGCCGA
Molecule: ribosomal RNA, 912 nt
Filed under: Trichophyton mentagrophytes
Lineage: Eukaryota; Fungi; Ascomycota; Eurotiomycetes; Onygenales; Arthrodermataceae
Description: LSU rRNA
Rfam family: Eukaryotic large subunit ribosomal RNA
Source: RNAcentral